UAACGUCCCAAACUUUUUCUGAAAUAUUUUAUAUUUGAUUUCUUUUAUUGUUACCCUAUCCUUUAAUUUUAUCAAAAUUCCUACACUACCCUUAUUCUUUUUACCAAAACCUAACCCUAAUGCCUAAAUUAAACCCACACACUCUUACUCUCACAUAAGCAUACACUCUGAAGUCUGAACAAAAGAAAUAGAGAAAAGGGGGUGAGAAAGUCACCGAGGGAAGAAGAGAAGAAGAUGACGGCACUGGCAAAGCAAAGAGAAGCCGUCGCCGCUGUCGAGUUAUAGAGGCAGAGGGAGAGACGAAUAAGGAGAGAGAUGGAUAAAGAGAAGGCAGCACCACUAUCGUCGCUGCUGGGACUCAUCGCUGGAGUUACGGUCAUCGCCGUUGAAGGGGCCGCGUCGGACGGAGACAUUGCCUUCGCUGAAGCUCACCGCUGGUAGUGUUGCUGCUGGGACGUCAGAGCUUGUAGUGUUGCUGCGGGAGUCACUCCAGAGGAGAGGAACCACCGCCACCGUUAUUCUGUUGUGUCCUUCACCGUCGACGUUGGAGAGGGUCACCGGAGUUGCUGAUGCUCCAUCCUCUUGUUUUCUUUGGUAAGAGUCAUCUUGUUCUACCUUAUCUUGCCGUAAAGCCUUAUUAUUGACUUUGUCCUACCUUGCUUAAUACCCCUUUCUGCCUUUGCUCAAUUUUAAACUACCAUAUGUAAAUUUAUUUCAAAUAUUUGUAAUUUUCUUAUUCAACUUAUAUUUGAGUCGGUUAGGCUUGCUUGGGGAUUAUUUUCCUAAGCGCCGAUCAUGGCUCAUUUUGGGCCGUGACAAAGUGGUAUCAGAGCUUUAGGUUAACCUGUGAAAUAUGGAGCAAGUGUCCUAUGGUAGGAUCACAAUUGUAUAAAUAGAAGCGCGCCUAUUUGUACAAAUUGUGACACUAUCAAAGGCCUAUAGAAAUGUCCUCUUUGUCCUUUGUCAUUGUUGUCUUCUGAUUAUUGUGAUCAUGCGUCUUCUGCCACUUCUUACUAUUCCUGUCCUUUUGUAUCUAAUCUAGACUUAACCUUUGGUAAAUUUUUUUCGAACAUAUUUUUGCAAUGGUUUCAGCUUUGGUUUCGGUUUGUGAUUUCUCUUGUAGCUAGUUCUGAUUUUUUUUCCGAUUUUGUGAAUGUUUGCUUUAAUUUUUUUUCUUUCGUCUUCGUAUGCUCUAUGAUUCCUGAGUCAAGAUAUCAUGCAUUAUUUAGAAAAUUCGAUCGAUGUUUGUUAUAAAUUGCUAUCUAAUUCUUUUAUAGAACAGUAUUUGGAUUUGUAGAUUUCAUGGAUUUGUUGAGUUUUGAUCGAAAUGCUUUGUUUUGGAUUUGAUAAGCGAUAUUGAAAUUUUUCUUCUUAUGUUGAUAAUCUUUAAAAUUAUAACAUAAUUUUGAUUUGCCUUUGAUUCUUUUUUAUAAAUCAAUAAUUUUGAAAAUUGUUAUCUAGUUGCUCAAGAAGAAGAACUAUGUGAUGAAACAUAUGAUGUUGUUUGUGUGAUUGGUGAUUUUCUUUGCUUAAGUGUAGUGAAUUAAUUGGGUGAUCAGUUCGCUAUAUCAAAAGUCUUUUCUGACCUAAGUUUGAUUGUGCUUUUCUAAUUUGAUAUUCUGGUUCCGUUAUGGUUCUUUGUUUUUGGAUAUGGUUUUUCUGUCAGGAACUAUUUUUAACUUGAUAAGUUGAGAGAAAGAUUGUGAGCAUUUGCCUUUUAGAUGGUGAUUAUAAAAUGAAUUUUGCUUUCGGCUAAGAUAUGAAACUUGAGAAUUUUCUUAACCCUUUGCUUUUUGAAAAUCAUCUUAUUCUCAACCAUUAUUUUUAUUCUUAGAUAAUUAGAAGAUUUGUUUUUCUUGGUUUGUAUUGCCCUUGUGAGAUUGGGAUUGUAGGUCUUAGAUAUUGGAAAGAAUUGCUAGCAAUUUCCGACAAAAGGACUAGAUAUCCAAUUUUUUUUAAGCUGAAUAAAUUAUUUAUAUGAGUUUUUCUCUUUAUUAUAUUCAACUAAUUAUUAUAAACUUUUUUUUUUGGAAGAUUAGUAGUUUAAGAUGUCCUUGCUCUUGUAACAAAGUUAUUGCUAAUUUUAUUAUUAGUAUUAUUGAGUAUUUACCUGAAUAUUUCCUUGCUUUGCAUCUUAAUCAUUAACCUUUAUGUCACGAUUAUGGAAGUUGAGUUCUCUUGCUCUGCACUCAUUUAAGUAUUUAAUUAUUAUAUUUCUUGACUCUUUUUGAAAUUGUUAAAAUAUUUUAGCAUUUGGCAUUUUGAUUUCUAUCAGAGUGUAUUGUAUACAUAAAACAUCACCAUUACUUUAAGCUUUUUUCCUUCCUUUUUCUUUUGAGAAAUUUCUUUUACACGGGUUUCACAUCUUCCUCCAACCAGUGAUGAUUAUUAUAUGCUCCGAUUUUUAUUUUAUUUAUUCUUGUGCAUAUUAACUUUUUAAGAGCCAUUAAUAUCAGUUGAAAACUGUUGCAAAACAGAUAUAUAUAUUUGUCUAUAUAAAAUAUGUGCCUCAGUGUAUGUAGAAUGACUGGUUCACAAUUGGCAACUUAUAGUUUAUAAUUGUUCUCCUUUUCACAUAAAAGAUAGUCAGCCUUUUUCUAUAACCAUGGUUAUACUUGCAUGUCUGUUUUCCAUUUAUUUAUAUAUAAAAAAAAACAACGAUAAAGAUAUAUAUGUAUACAUUUGAGUUUGUCUUUAACUCGUGAACUUUAAGUUCAAUUAACUAUUUAUGAAUAUGAAUUUUUUUUUGGGUGUUUUAUCUUUACAAGAAAUCUGAUUUCAUACUAAUUUUUCUAAAUUUUUUUUUUGCUACGUGUCUUGAUUAUGUUAAAAACAAAUUCAUAAUUGGAGAUGUAAAAGAAAAGGGGUAGUUAUUAUAAUUGAUCCUAGUGUGUUAAUCGCUAAUACUUUAACUUUUAAUUUAUUUAUUUUUAUUAUUAUCUUAUAUGUGAAAUUAUUUGUAACUUCAUACUAAGUCUAGCUUCAUGAUUAUAGGAAAUCGUUUAACUUUAUUUUACAACAACAAAAAAAAAAGAGUUAAAUGUACUGGUGAAUUUUGGCCUUGAGGAUAAUGAAAUGAUUGCUUAUAUUUUCGCAUGUUUUACGUUAUUUAUAUAUUAUUUAUAGUCAAAAGUUAUUAAAGUUUAUUAUGGCAUAUUUAAUAUUCAAGGUUAUGGCAAAAAUUAAUUCAAAUAGACUUUGUCAAAGAAUUUUAGAUAAAAAAAAAUGAGCAUGUUAAUUUUUGUGACAAUUACUGUUUUUAAUUUUCAUAACAGUUCAAUUGUCUUUUUAAAAGGUGCGGUCAAAUCUUCAAUUCGCUGCUUUGUUUUGCUCCUCUGUUAUUGUCUUUAUCUUGUUUGGAACUUUGAUAUACAAUUAUUGUUGGUACUUUAUUUACGUUGUAUGUUAGUUGUUGUUCAGUUUUUCUUGUCUAUAGUAUCGUUACUUCCUAUUGUUUUAUUUAACUUCAUUUGUCCUAGUGUUCUUAUUUUGGUCUAUAAAUAUUAUAAACUUUAGACCUUGUAUGUUUUUCUUCUUUGAUUUUCAAAGAUUGGCUUAUUUGAUUGUGUUUCUAUUCAUUCUCUUAAAUCUUUGUGAACAUUGUCACGGACUAUAGUAGCCAUCUCUCGUGAACUUUGCGCUUAGUUGAUUCAACUUGAACUUGUUUUGACCUAAUAUUCCAUUUUUUUUUAUUGUUUCUAUCAAAGCUCCUCGAUUCAGAUUUUCUUGUUAGGAUGUAAUUGACUCUCUUUCUGGCACACUUAACUGUUUUUAUACAUCAUUGCUUAAUUGUGAUCUUACGCAUCCUUCCAAAUUCUUGCGAACCUCAUUUGUGAUGUUGCUCUUCUCUUUCUAAGUUUUGUAUCCUUUUGAGUAAACUCGAGCUUGUUUCGGUGUCACGUGCGAUUUUCAGAUAGCAAGCGAUAUAUUAGUUCAUUAGGACAUAACUUAUUGAUGCAGAAGUUCAGAAAGUUGUAAUUCUAAGACUUGAAAUAAGACUGAUUGCUUCCAUGGAUGUAUACUACAAAACCAAGGAGAUUAUAAAGUAAGAUUGUAUUUGAGGAGAUUGACGAAGAAGUGAAGAGUGUUAUGUAUAUUUGAGUUGUCAAUGGAACGAGAGUCGGUGAAUGCCAACCGUAUCGUUUUAACACACAUCUAUCUUGAAAUUUUAACACCCGAUUAUACUUCUUUUUCAUGUUUGGUAGAAGGCUAAAACCAUGCAACAUUUUUCAUACGGUAUUAAUUUUCGAGGACGAAAAUUCUUUUAAGGGGGAUAGAAUGUAACGUCCCAAACUUUUUCUGAAAUAUUUUAUAUUUGAUUUCUUUUAUUGUUACCCUAUCCUUUAAUUUUAUCAAAAUUCCUACACUACCCUUAUUCUUUUUACCAAAACCUAACCCUAAUGCCUAAAUUAAACCCACACACUCUUACUCUCACAUAAGCAUACACUCUGAAGUCUGAACAAAAGAAAUAGAGAAAAGGGGGUGAGAAAGUCACCGAGGGAAGAAGAGAAGAAGAUGACGGCACUGGCAAAGCAAAGAGAAGCCGUCGCCGCUGUCGAGUUAUAGAGGCAGAGGGAGAGACGAAUAAGGAGAGAGAUGGAUAAAGAGAAGGCAGCACCACUAUCAUCGCUGCUGGGACUCAUCGCUGGAGUUACGGUCAUCGCCGUUGAAGGGGCCGCGUCGGACGGAGACCCGAAGCUAUCUCCGCCUUUACUCUGCUCCAUUGCGGCUGACCCCUACCUCUCCCCUGUUCGUCAGAGCUUGUAGUGUUGCUGCGGGAGUCACUCCAGAGGAGAGGAACCACCGCCACCGUUAUUCUGUUGUGUCCUUCACCGUCGACGUUGGAGAGGGUCACCGGAACUGCUAAUGCUCCAUCCCCUUGUUUUCUUUGGUAAGAGUCAUCUUGUUCUACCUUAUCUUGCCGUAAAGCCUUAUUAUUGACUCUUUCCUACCUUGCUUAAUACCCCUUUCUGCCUUUGCUCAAUUUUAAACUACCAUAGGCUGUUGGAUUUGCUGUCAUUGUUACCGUGGUUGUCCCAUGUUAUUGUUACUAGGGCUGUUGGCAUUACUGCAGUGAGAAUUGAAAUUGUUGCUACUACCCAAUCCAAAUUCUGCACUCUUUCGUACCCUUUAAUUCGGCACUCCGG
This 5147-nucleotide long non-coding RNA is filed under the name Arachis ipaensis. RNAcentral's name for it is "long non-coding RNA (AIPA_LNC002437)". Lineage: Eukaryota; Viridiplantae; Streptophyta; Magnoliopsida; Fabales; Fabaceae. The record is from RNAcentral.